UGCCUUCAAGGAGUAAGGUGGUGGG
Molecule: non-coding RNA, 25 nt
Filed under: Mus musculus (house mouse)
Lineage: Eukaryota; Metazoa; Chordata; Mammalia; Rodentia; Muridae
Source: RNAcentral